GCGACACGGCUCUUUAAAAACAAAAGGAGA
Molecule: unclassified non-coding RNA, 30 nt
Filed under: Streptococcus parasanguinis
Lineage: Bacteria; Bacillati; Bacillota; Bacilli; Lactobacillales; Streptococcaceae
Description: RNA (30-MER) from Streptococcus parasanguinis (PDB 8HB1, chain B)
Source: RNAcentral